Arachis ipaensis is the source of this 676-nucleotide non-coding RNA. Lineage: Eukaryota; Viridiplantae; Streptophyta; Magnoliopsida; Fabales; Fabaceae. The record is from RefSeq and is a predicted model, not a curated record.
AAUAAAAAAAGCAAUUUAAGAAGAGUUAGACAUAAAAAAAGGGACUGAAAAAAGCAAAUACCAAUUUAGCACUAAAAAAACAUGAAUGACAUCAAGAGAAUCAUGACCAAUCAGUCAUUGUCACGGUAAGCAUAGUAGCAUAAUAACAUCAGCUAUUAGUUUGAAAUGAACCAAAUUGGUUAGGAGUAGAGUAACACCACAAUGACAGCAGUAUAACAAUUAGUAAGCAACAUAUCAGUAACACCUUAGCAUUAUGAGGAAAAAUUAGAUUUUGGAGAUUUUUGGAGAUCUUUUGUUCCUAAACAGUUCGUAAAUAGUAAAAUGUAAUCUCUCUCAUUAGUUAAGCAUGUUAUAAUUUGAUUUGCUUCAAGCCGUAGUAAUGCUGAUAUGAAUUAGUAAUGAAUGAUCAUGGAAUAUAGGCAGGGUUAAUUUUUGGUGGAACUGCGGUCCAGACUUUGGUACUGGCCUUAGUUACUAUUCGAAGUGACUGGGACAAAGAGGCUAAGAGAGCAAGAUUGCAUGUGGCAAAAUGGGAAGGUGCUGUGAAGAACUGAACAAAAAGUAGUGUCUUUUUCACAUGCAAUGCAAAAGCAUAUGCGAGCACUGAUCAUAAGAAUAAUAAAUGGACAAAUAGAACUCAUUAAUGAAAAUAACUAGUGUGCAUGCGUGUUUUUCU